UUUUAAAUAUGAAGUUUUUCUUAAAGAGCGUUUUAAAUUUUUGUUUCGUGAAUUAUAUUACUUUGGUUCCUCAUCAUUUUGGAUUCGGGACGCGACUCUCAAAAAAGGGAGAAUAUAGUAUUUGACCUAAAAGAACUGUAUUGAAUCAUAGUUAAGAAUUUAAAACAUAAACAAUAAAGCAAACUGUACUUUUUCCCCGAAAAA
Molecule: long non-coding RNA, 204 nt
Organism: Drosophila pseudoobscura
Lineage: Eukaryota; Metazoa; Arthropoda; Insecta; Diptera; Drosophilidae
Exons: 2
Source: RefSeq, a predicted model, not a curated record